Molecule: ribosomal RNA, 440 nt
Filed under: uncultured bacterium
Lineage: Bacteria
Description: partial 16S ribosomal RNA
Rfam family: Bacterial small subunit ribosomal RNA
Source: RNAcentral
CCUACGGGAGGCAGCAGUGGGGGAUAUUGCACAAUGGGGGGAACCCUGAUGCAGCGACGCCGCGUGGGUGAAGGAGCGUUUCGGCGCGUAAAGCCCUAUCGGCAGGGAAGAAGAUGACGGUACCUGGCCAAGAAGCCCCGGCUAACUACGUGCCAGCAGCCGCGGUAAAACGUCGGGGGCAAGCGUUAUCCGGAUUUACUGGGUGUAAAGGGGGCGCAGACGGCAAUGCAAGCCCGGAGUGAAAGCCCGGGGCCCAACCCCGGGACUGCCCUUGAAACUGGAUGGCUUGAGUACAGGAGGGGCAGGCGGAAUUCCUAGUGUAGCGGUGAAAUGCAGAGAUAUUAGGAGGAACACCGGUGGCGAAGGCGGCCUGCUGGACUGUGACUGACGUUGAGGCCCGAAGGCGUGGGGAGCAAACAGGAUUAGAUACCCUUGUAGUC